GAGCAGCCCACACGAAAUAGCAUUAACACACCUUGACACCCAGGAAGCAGCUAAAAAUCACCCAUAUUUAUUGAUGCUGAAUAUAAGGUCCUCUUAAAGGUGUCAUCACUGUGGCUUUGUCUUCCAUCCAGCCUGUGAAGAGUUUGAAAUUGAACUGGUGUUGACCGGCGAGCAGUUAGACAUUACUUGCACUGCCUGUGCCUGAAAAAUGUCUGAAAAGAAUAGCAGCCAAGUAAAGCUCCUAGUUAAGAAAGGAGGCAAAGAUGUCUGCAUUCCUUGUCCAAGAGAUAUUGCUGAUCUUUUGACUGAGGC
Long non-coding RNA from Haliotis rubra (blacklip abalone), 312 nucleotides. RefSeq lists it as uncharacterized. The record is from RefSeq and is a predicted model, not a curated record. NCBI's taxonomy places the organism in Eukaryota, Metazoa, Mollusca, Gastropoda, Lepetellida, Haliotidae. The transcript is spliced from 3 exons.